CAAACUACCUCACAAAACCAGAAAACUCAACCUCCUAAAAAGCCUGAUAUUGCCACCGCUGCAACCCCUGGUGAUGAAUCUGAUGACUCUGACACGGAUUCCGAGUCUGAAUCCGACACCGACAGCCAAACUCCCAAGCCUAUUGCAACAAAACCUAUGGAAGAAGCUUCAAACACCAAAAAACCUAGAUCCAAACCAUUGGCUUCACCGAUUAAAGCUUCUUCAACUAAGCGGCCCAGCGACUCAGAGCAAGAACCCAAGGAUGUGAAACGGGCCAAGAAAAAAGCUGGGGAAGAAGUAACCGAGGUCGCUGUUGUUGAGGAGGUGAAGAAG
RNAcentral lists this long non-coding RNA (333 nucleotides) under Theobroma cacao (cacao). RNAcentral describes it as "long non-coding RNA (TCAC_LNC004352)". Lineage: Eukaryota; Viridiplantae; Streptophyta; Magnoliopsida; Malvales; Malvaceae. The record is from RNAcentral.